Long non-coding RNA from Sceloporus undulatus (fence lizard), 337 nucleotides. RefSeq lists it as uncharacterized. The transcript is spliced from 3 exons. The record is from RefSeq and is a predicted model, not a curated record. Lineage: Eukaryota; Metazoa; Chordata; Lepidosauria; Squamata; Phrynosomatidae.
GCAACAUCUAUGCCUAGCAACAAGACUGCAUGUGUUACUACUACAGAUUCUGCACACACUUCGUUCUAUCACAGCAACAUCUGUGCCUAGCAACAAUGCGCCACACUCUCCGAGUUUUCUGAAACAGGAGUCAGCUGAUUAGUGUCCACCAUCUUACCACAUUUACGUUCAGAAGCUUUAAGAUACUGCAAUACUGGAAACUGGGAGAAUGAAGGAGGAUUUCGGUGUGAAGGCAUUAUUCCUAUUGAAGAAAUCAAUGCUCCCACCAUCAUAUCUACACCUCUGCAUCUGUUUUUCUGUAUGAACAUUCAACAUAACUCAUCACUCCAGAAGCGAU